This 537-nucleotide long non-coding RNA is filed under the name Equus caballus (horse). RNAcentral's name for it is "lncRNA (ENSECAG00000049488.1)". Lineage: Eukaryota; Metazoa; Chordata; Mammalia; Perissodactyla; Equidae. The record is from RNAcentral.
UGUUAGUAAAUUUGAUAUAAGCAGAGGGUUUAAAUACGUUUGGUAUGUAAUUUAGUUUGGUUUCUUGCAUGCCUGCCAUUCACCAUGAGAGAACAUGCCUCAGACAGCUGCUGGUCCAAGGAGGAUAAAACCUGAACACAAUCUGCAAAUUGGAGUCUGGAGCCUGGAUUUCAGCCUAGCCCAGGUCAACAGGUCAUGGUGACCACAAAGGGAACUGAAGGAGAUGAGCCCCUGAGGAACCAAUGACGCCAGAACUGUGUGAGGUGCCCGCUCGAGCCAUCUGUGCCCUCCGCUUCUGACUCAUCCAUCGGCUGAUGAAUGUUUAACUGAAGGUUCCUGUCCAGCUGGAGUAGCUGAGUCUGGAUGAAGGCAAAGAUGAAGGACCUGCCCUGGGGUCUGGGGUGCCAAAGGCAUUGUAUGCAGACCCCAAGGGCACAAAUCCCACUCCAAGGUCAAUGAUCCACUGUGCAGCCCAGAGAUGGAACAGGCUGCCUCUGCGAGAAGCUCGUUGGACCUGGCUCCCAGCCUGAGCAAGCC